AGCUCCAAUAGCGUAUAUUAAAGUUGUUGCGGUUAAAAAGCUCGUAGUUGGAUUUCUGUCGGUGAGUUGCAGUCCGGCCACUGUGCUUGGUACUUGUAACGCUACCGGCAUCUUCCUGGGGACUGUGUCUGCUCUUCACUGAGUGGCUCAUAAUCCAGGACUUUUACUUUGAAGUAAUAGGAGUGUUUCAAGCAGGCAUGCGCCGUGAACACGUUAGCAUGGAAUAAUAGCAUCGGACCUCGCUCCAAAGCUGUUGGUUUCUUGGACCGAGGUAAAGGUGAAUAGGGAUUGUUGGGGGCAUUCGUAUUUAACUGUCAGAGGUGAAAGUCUUGGAUUUGUUGAAGACGGACUACUGCGAAAGCAUCUGCCAAAGAUGUUC
Molecule: ribosomal RNA, 379 nt
Filed under: uncultured eukaryote
Lineage: Eukaryota
Description: SSU rRNA
Rfam family: Eukaryotic small subunit ribosomal RNA
Source: RNAcentral